GAUGAACGCUAGCGACAGGCUUAACACAUGCAAGUCGAGGGGCAGCGAGGGCGUAGCAAUACGCCUGUCGGCGACCGGCGCACUGGUGAGUAACACGUAUGCGACCUGCCCCCUACAGGGGUAUAACCCGUAGAAAUGCGGACUAAUCCCCCAUAGUCCUGGGUGCUGCAUGGCAUUCAGGGGAAAGGGUUUCCGGUAGGGGAUGGGCAUGCGGCGCAUUAGCUAGUUGGCGGGGCAACGGCCCACCAAGGCGACGAUGCGUAGGGGUUCUGAGAGGAAGGUCCCCCACACUGGUACUGAGACACGGACCAGACUCCUACGGGAGGCAGCAGUGAGGAAUAUUGGUCAAUGGGCGCAGGCCUGAACCAGCCAAGUCGCGUGAGGGAAGACGGUCCUACGGAUUGUAAACCUCUUUUGUCGGGGAGUAAACGUGCGGGACGCGUCCCGUAUUGAGAGUACCCGAAGAAAAAGCAAUCGGCUAACUCCGUG
Molecule: ribosomal RNA, 489 nt
Filed under: uncultured bacterium
Lineage: Bacteria
Description: bacterial SSU rRNA
Rfam family: Bacterial small subunit ribosomal RNA
Source: RNAcentral